RNAcentral lists this ribosomal RNA (460 nucleotides) under uncultured bacterium. RNAcentral's name for it is "partial 16S ribosomal RNA". It matches the Rfam family "Bacterial small subunit ribosomal RNA", at positions 338 to 795 of the family's 1533-position model. The record is from RNAcentral.
CCUACGGGAGGCAGCAGUGAGAAAUAUUGGUCAAUGGACGAGAGUCUGAACCAGCCAAGUAGCGUGAAGGAUGACUGCCCUAUGGGUUGUAAACUUCUUUUAUAUGGGAAUAAAAUGUUCCACGUGUGGGAUUUUGUAUGUACCAUAUGAAUAAGGAUCGGCUAACUCCGUGCCAGCAGCCGCGGUAAUACGGAGGAUCCGAGCGUUAUCCGGAUUUAUUGGGUUUAAAGGGAGCGUAGGUGGAUUGUUAAGUCAGUUGUGAAAGUUUGCGGCUCAACCGUAAAAUUGCAGUUGAAACUGGCAGUCUUGAGUACAGUAGAGGUGGGCGGAAUUCGUGGUGUAGCGGUGAAAUGCUUAGAUAUCACGAAGAACUCCGAUUGCGAAGGCAGUUCACUGGACUGCAACUGACACUGAGGCUCGAAAGUGUGGGUAUCAAACAGGAUUAGAUACCCGAGUAGUC